This 253-nucleotide ribosomal RNA is filed under the name uncultured bacterium. RNAcentral's name for it is "partial 16S ribosomal RNA". It matches the Rfam family "Bacterial small subunit ribosomal RNA", at positions 524 to 776 of the family's 1533-position model. The record is from RNAcentral.
UACGGAGGGGGUUAGCGUUGUUCGGAAUGACUGGGCGUAAAGCGCGCGUAGGCGGAUCAUCAAGUCGGGGGUGAAAUCCCGGGGCUCAACCCCGGAAUGGCCUUCGAGACUGGUGGUCUUGAGUUCGAGAGAGGCGAGUGGAAUUCCGAGUGUAGAGGUGAAAUUCGUAGAUAUUCGGAAGAACACCAGUGGCGAAGGCGACUCGCUGGACAGACAUUGACGCUGAGGUGCGAAAGCGUGGGGAGCAAACAGG